RNAcentral lists this ribosomal RNA (253 nucleotides) under uncultured bacterium. RNAcentral describes it as "partial 16S ribosomal RNA". It matches the Rfam family "Bacterial small subunit ribosomal RNA", at positions 524 to 776 of the family's 1533-position model. The record is from RNAcentral.
UACGUAGGGCGCAAGCGUUGUCCGGAAUCAUUGGGCGUAAAGAGCUCGUAGGCGGCCUGUCGCGUCCGCUGUGAAAUCCCGGGGCUUAACCCCGGGCGUGCAGUGGAUACGGGCUGGCUGGAGGCAGGCAGGGGAGAACGGAAUUCCCGGUGUAGCGGUGAAAUGCGCAGAUAUCGGGAGGAACACCGGUGGCGAAGGCGGUUCUCUGGGCCUGUACUGACGCUGAGGAGCGAAAGCGUGGGGAGCGAACAGG